UACGAAGGGGGCUAGCGUUGCUCGGAAUUACUGGGCGUAAAGGGCGCGUAGGCGGGUCGUUAAGUAGGGGGUGAAAGCCCAGGGCUCAACCCUGGAAUUGCCCUUCUAAACUGGCGACCUUGAGUAUGGCAGAGGUGUGUGGAACUCCGAGUGUAGAGGUGAAAUUCGUAGAUAUUCGGAAGAAAGCACCAGUGGCGCAAGGACGACACACUGGGCCAUUACUGA
This 225-nucleotide ribosomal RNA is filed under the name uncultured bacterium. RNAcentral describes it as "partial 16S ribosomal RNA". It matches the Rfam family "Bacterial small subunit ribosomal RNA", at positions 524 to 743 of the family's 1533-position model. The record is from RNAcentral.